GACGAACGCUGGCGGCGCGCUUAACACAUGCAAGUCGAACGGAAAGGCCCUGCUUUUGUGGGGUGCUCGAGUGGCGAACGGGUGAGUAACACGUGAGUAACCUGCCCUUGACUUUGGGAUAACUUCAGGAAACUGGGGCUAAUACCGGAUAGGAGCUCCUGCUGCAUGGUGGGGGUUGGAAAGUUUCGGCGGUUGGGGAUGGACUCGCGGCUUAUCAGCUUGUUGGUGGGGUAGUGGCUUACCAAGGCUUUGACGGGUAGCCGGCCUGAGAGGGUGACCGGCCACAUUGGGACUGAGAUACGGCCCAGACUCCUACGGGAGGCAGCAGUGGGGAAUAUUGCACAAUGGGCGGAAGCCUGAUGCAGCAACGCCGCGUGCGGGAUGACGGCCUUCGGGUUGUAAACCGCUUUCGCCUGUGACGAAGCGUGAGUGACGGUAAUGGGUAAAGAAGCACCGGCUAACUACGUGCCAGCAGCCGCGGUGAUACGUAGGGUGCGAGCGUUGUCCGGAUUUAUUGGGCGUAAAGGGCUCGUAGGUGGUUGAUCGCGUCGGAAGUGUAAUCUUGGGGCUUAACCCUGAGCGUGCUUUCGAUACGGGUUGACUUGAGGAAGGUAGGGGAGAAUGGAAUUCCUGGUGGAGCGGUGGAAUGCGCAGAUAUCAGGAGGAACACCAGUGGCGAAGGCGGUUCUCUGGGCCUUUCCUGACGCUGAGGAGCGAAAGCGUGGGGAGCGAACAGGCUUAGAUACCCUGGUAGUCCACGCUGUAAACGGUGGGUACUAGGUGUGGGGUCCAUUCCACGGGUUCCGUGCCGUAGCUAACGCUUUAAGUACCCCGCCUGGGGAGUACGGCCGCAAGGCUAAAACUCAAAGGAAUUGACGGGGCCCCGCACAAGCGGCGGAGCAUGCGGAUUAAUUCGAUGCAACGCGUAGAACCUUACCUGGGUUUGACAUGGAUCGGGAGUGCUCAGAGAUGGGUGUGCCUCUUUUGGGGUCGGUUCACAGGUGGUGCAUGGCUGUCGUCAGCUCGUGUCGUGAGAUGUUGGGUUAAGUCCCGCAACGAGCGCAACCCUUGUUCACUGUUGCCAGCACGUUAUGGUGGGGACUCAGUGGAGACCGCCGGGGUCAACUCGGAGGAAGGUGGGGAUGACGUCAAGUCAUCAUGCCCCUUAUGUCCAGGGCUUCACGCAUGCUACAAUGGCUGGUACAGAGAGUGGCGAGCCUGCGAGGGUGAGCGAAUCUCGGAAAGCCGGUCUCAGUUCGGAUUGGGGUCUGCAACUCGACCUCAUGAAGUCGGAGUCGCUAGUAAUCGCAGAUCAGCAACGCUGCGGUGAAUACGUUCCCGGGGCU
RNAcentral lists this ribosomal RNA (1346 nucleotides) under uncultured bacterium. RNAcentral describes it as "partial 16S ribosomal RNA". It matches the Rfam family "Bacterial small subunit ribosomal RNA", at positions 28 to 1381 of the family's 1533-position model. The record is from RNAcentral.